UCAUACUUAACAAUAACAUAUAGCAUAUGUAUAAUCUCAAACCAUACUCAAUGACCACACAACAAUACCAACACAAACACACGUGUAAUAUUGGAAUACAUCCAUUCAUAUUACACGCCAUACAUAUAUUAUGCAAUGAGACUCCAUGCAUGCGGUACCGACUAUUUGUGAACAUAUAGUUCAACCUCACCGUCCAAACCCAGGCACGGCUACCAAGCUCACUAGUCCCACUCAUUUGAGACAUAGUGACUCACUCACUAAUUCCU
Molecule: long non-coding RNA, 266 nt
Filed under: Lathyrus oleraceus (garden pea)
Lineage: Eukaryota; Viridiplantae; Streptophyta; Magnoliopsida; Fabales; Fabaceae
Description: Pisum sativum (pea) long non-coding RNA (PSAT_LNC006836)
Source: RNAcentral